AUGUUCCUCGGGCUCAAUUAUCCAAUCAUCCAACCAAUCAUCGAUCAUAUCACCGGCGAUGAUUACCGUGUUAUGCAACCUCCAUUCGCCAGGGGGGACUGUGUUUACACAUCAUACCAUGGGUUUCAUGAAUCACCAUAUCCAGAGAUUCGUCGACACAGCUUGUUGCCAGAUAAUCUUCAGUGUGUGAAAGGCAUCAAGCUUCCAUGCGAUGGAUGGCUUUUGCAAACCCGACAUGCGGCGAUGUGGUUCAUGCCAACAGCAAAUAUGCACAACUUGAUUCGUACUGAUAUAAUUAACCCAUGCAAGUCGAAGAAGGAUUGGCCGGUGCUGCCGGCUGGCGUCAAGUUCGAUCCCACGGAUCAGGAGCUGAUCGAGCACCUUGAGGCCAAAGUGAGUGCUGACAGCGCGAGAUCUCACCCUCUCAUCGAUUUGUUCAAACCAACCAUCGACAGCGAGCACGGCAUAUGCUACACCCAUCCUGAGAAACUUCUAGGUAUCACACUGAGUGGCCUAAGCAAGCAUUCCUUCCAACACAAUUCCAGGGCGUUCAAAAGGGGCACGUGGACGCGUCGCAAGAUACAGUCGGAGUGCGGCAUGCACGCGAUGUGGCCCAACACCGGCAAUACCUUGCCGGUGAUGGUCAACGGCCGGCAGACGGGCAGCAAAAAGGUUCUGGUGCUGCACACCAACAAGAACUUCGACCAGCAGAGGACCAACUGGGUGAUGCACCAGUACCACCUCGGGGACCUGGAGCAAGAGAAGGAGCGGGAGCUGGUCCUCUGCAAGAUUUUCUACCAGACGAACACUAGGGCCAGGAGUAAAAAGAUUAUAAGUUAG
This 840-nucleotide ribosomal RNA is filed under the name Triticum aestivum (bread wheat). RNAcentral describes it as "partial small subunit ribosomal RNA". The record is from RNAcentral. Lineage: Eukaryota; Viridiplantae; Streptophyta; Magnoliopsida; Poales; Poaceae.